Molecule: long non-coding RNA, 270 nt
Filed under: Bos taurus (domestic cattle)
Lineage: Eukaryota; Metazoa; Chordata; Mammalia; Artiodactyla; Bovidae
Description: long non-coding RNA NONBTAT024009
Source: RNAcentral
UUCCAGGGUUCUUCUAGUCUUCAGGGUUCCCUUUUGUCUGGAUAGUCGCCAUGAUGGAUUGGGUAUUGGAUUGGAAGUUAGAGGAUAUAAAAUCUAGUGACAGUUUAACUCCUUAUGAAGUUGCCAACCUCCUUAUAAAGUUGCCAACCUCCUUAUAAAGUUGCCAACCCGGAAGAAGAUUCUCGAGAACUGUGCUUAUGAAGGAAGAAGGAUUUCCUCCCUAGUUUCUACAUCCUCUCAAAGGCUUGCUUAGUGUUCAACUUUGCUUUC